This 465-nucleotide ribosomal RNA is filed under the name uncultured bacterium. Its description in RNAcentral is "partial 16S ribosomal RNA". It matches the Rfam family "Bacterial small subunit ribosomal RNA", at positions 338 to 795 of the family's 1533-position model. The record is from RNAcentral.
CCUACGGGGGGUAGCAGUGGGGAAUAUUGCGCAAUGGGCGAAAGCCUGACGCAGCGACGCCGCGUGAGGGAUGAAGGUCUUCGGAUCGUAAACCUCUGUCAGCAGGGAAGAACGGUCACUGUGCUAAUCAGCAGUGAAUUGACGGUACCUGCAAAGGAAGCACCGGCUAAAUACGUGCCAGCAGCCGCGGUAAUACGUAUGGUGCAAGCUUUAUCCGGAUUUACUGGGGGUAACGGGAGCGCAGGCGGCGCGUUCAGCCUGGUGUGAAAGCCCGCGGCCCAACCGCGGGACUGCAUUGGGAACUGGCGCGCUGGAGUGCCGGAGGGGUAGGCGGAAUUCCUAGUGUAGCGGUGAAAUGCGUAGAUAUUAGGAGGAACACCAGUGGCGAAGGCGGCCUACUGGACGGUGACUGACGCUGAGGCUCGAAAGCGUGGGGAGCAAACAGGAUUAGAUACCCUAGUAGUC